Molecule: transfer RNA, 74 nt
Filed under: Flavobacteriaceae bacterium
Lineage: Bacteria; Pseudomonadati; Bacteroidota; Flavobacteriia; Flavobacteriales; Flavobacteriaceae
Description: tRNA-Ala
Rfam family: tRNA
About the family: Transfer RNA (tRNA) molecules are approximately 80 nucleotides in length. Their secondary structure includes four short double-helical elements and three loops (D, anti-codon, and T loops).
Source: RNAcentral
GGGGAUGUAGCUCAGUUGGCUAGAGCGCAUGGCUGGCAGCCAUGAGGUCGUGGGUUCGAGCCCCAUCUUCUCCA